This 389-nucleotide ribosomal RNA is filed under the name Microphis deocata (Deocata pipefish). Its description in RNAcentral is "partial 12S ribosomal RNA". It matches the Rfam family "Bacterial small subunit ribosomal RNA", at positions 794 to 1383 of the family's 1533-position model. The record is from RNAcentral. Lineage: Eukaryota; Metazoa; Chordata; Actinopteri; Syngnathiformes; Syngnathidae.
GCAUAGCUGUAAACACUGAUAUUUUUAAUACAUUUAAUAUCCGCCCGGGUACUAUAAGCAUUAGCUUAAAACCCAAAGGACCUGGCGGUGCUUUACAACCUCCUAGAGGAGCCUGUUCUAGAACUGAUAACCCCCGCUCAACCUCACCCCUUCUUGCCAAUACCGCCUAUAUACCGCCGUCGUCAGCUUACCCCAUUGAGAGUUCUACAGUGAGCAAAAUUGGUAUAACCCAAAACGUCAGGUCGAGGUGUAGUACAUGAAGGGGGAAGAAAUGGGCUACAUUCGCUAAUUAGCGCACUACGAAUCACAUGUUGAAAUUACAUGUCUAAAGGAGGAUUUAGCAGUAAGAAGAAAACAGAGUAUUCUCCUGAAAUUGGCCCUAAAGCACG